Molecule: long non-coding RNA, 2013 nt
Organism: Heterocephalus glaber (naked mole-rat)
Lineage: Eukaryota; Metazoa; Chordata; Mammalia; Rodentia; Bathyergidae
Source: Ensembl
ACUUCUUAUAUCUCAUUGCUAUAAGAAUUUAAUUUUUUUUGAAGAAACUUCAUGUUUAGUGGAACCUGAAUGUAAGAUCUCCUUUAAUUUCACAUUCUAUUCUCCCCAUUUACUCUUCUUUUCUUGUUAGCUCUCUAAUUUAAAAACACCUCAGACUUUUUUCUUUAAUCCAAGAAGGAAACUGAAUUUUCAUACUACAAGCUUCCCAGUAUCAUCUUCUCUUUGUGGACACUUAACUCAGCCAUGGAUCAAAUAACCAUAAACACUAUAAAUCCCCACCCAAACAUCUUCUCCAACCCAGAAAUGAAAAUCCGAGUGAACUUUUCCUUCUUCUUUUUGUUCUGAAAUUUUAUCAGGGAUAAGAAUGGAUUGUUCUCUAUGUUCUGGAAGCAUGUAUUUGAACUUGUACCAGUUACUGUAGCCCUCCUCUUCAGUUUACUCAGCAUAUGGCUCCAAAACUAAAAAUACUAAAUCAGUCAUAUCUUCCAUGUCUGAAUUUGGCCUUAUUUGAUGACUUAAUUGAUUCCUUUCCAGCAUUCUGAUUUCUUGUGGCAAUAACCUAUACUACACAGGAAUUAAAACUUAAAGCAAGUCUAUUAAAAAUAUGUAUAAGGAUUGAGCAAGAAAAACACAUUCCAAAGUUUCAAAAUGCCAUUAAUUGACUUUCUAAAAUAAAGGUAACAUGAAAUUAGGGCUAAACAAUGUAAUCUAACUGCCAACUAAAGUAUACAGUAGUUCUGGUCUUAGUUAUAUAUGAUAUAGAGUUAUUUAAUGUUAAGCUGAUCCCAGUGGAUUUAGUAAAAAUGUAGGUAUUGAGUGUUAAUGGCUACCAAUGGGGGUAUACACUUAGCUUGCUGGCUGAACUUCAGUCUGUUUUUGUAUCCUAGGAUUUUGUGAACAAGCCAAAAUUUAAACAAAAGCCACCCUAAGUCUGUAAUUGCAGAGAAAUUUCCCUCUUGGUGAUAUUAGAACAGUCCAAGUCCACUCAAACUGAGUCCAGGAUUUGGAACUCACCCAGAAAAACAAAUGAAAGAGAAACAUUUAAUGGACCAAGUAUGCUUGGUAUUUCAUAGUUAAGACAGCUGGGCAGGGUAGGAAGAUAAGCUGUAGAACAAAGACAAGAUUGAGGUGGAAGAAAUUGGCGAGUCCCAGAAAAAGGCUUAGAGAUUUAUAACCUUGGAUUCUCCCUAUACUUAAAUUAUGGGUAAACUCUCUAGCAUGAUACCUAAUUCAGAGAGGUUCUUUCCAUUAAACUCACCUUGAGUAGUGGACUUGAGUCUUAAGAGGAUUGGGAGAUUCCUGAAAAUCUCCACACCUGAAAGACAGAGAGAGAGGAGGUUCUUGCUUUAAAUCAGCUCAAAGACAAUCGAUGAUUUCAGUGACUCUUCAAUAUAGUGAAGUCAGUAAUGGAGAGAUUACAUUAGCCCUGAGUUGUAUAAGCACCAUGAGAGGGGAGAAUGGGACAGGGAAUGAAUUUUAUCAGGAAUAUUUCAAACCGCAUGGUACACCGGAACUAACUUCGAGAGACAACAUUGAAAGGAGGUAAUGACAGGGUGUCCAAUCUAUAACCUCUGUCCUGUAGGACCCAGGCCAAGUCAUUCCCUCCUUGAUUUGCUCUUAGAGGAUAAGUAUUUAAGAUGGGAUCAAGAGGGAAAUUGGGUGCUCUGUCUCAGGCUGUUCAAAUGCUGCCACCUGCAUUGUAAGACAUGUGAGAGUCAAACCCUAGGAGACACAUCCUUAUGGGCUGAUGCACUGAUGUGCCACCCUGAGACUCCUGCAGCACUGGUGGUUGAAUGGCAGCCUUACUGUCCACCCAAGUAUCUGUGCACCACUUCUAAAGCCAGAGUUCAGCACUGCAUGUCAAUCAGGUGGAUAUCAUGUAAUAUAAAUGCUCGUUGGGAUCCAAAAGGAAAACCAUUACAAAUAAAAGAAAGAUGAACAAGUUUAAUGUUUUUUGGGGAGGGGGUCAAAGAAAAGAAUAAAUAAAACCUUGUUGUAAAGAAUUAAUCGGCC